UCACAAAUAGCCAAUUAGGAAAAUGCACCAAAAUAGAAUAUUAAUUCGGUGGCAAGUGGAAAGUUCAAUUGAACAAGGCUGCCCCUAUCGUAGCAGUCUGCUGUGCACCAUCUCUAGCCAACAGUCAUAUCAGUGAACUGCAACCCAUGCUUAGCGCAUUUUAGGAUGCGUGGGACCUGCACAACACAAAGGGAUUUCUGCCACUCACUUAUCACGUCUCCAUUUACUCUGUUUUCUGCCCCAACACCUUUGACAUUUCCUGGAAUGUCAUCAUGCCACAAAGAACUAAAACCCUGGGUGAAAGGUGCCACACCCUGCUGCCACUUGGUCUGAGCAACCCUGGCUGCUAUUUAAAUAAUCAUGAUAAAUGGUUAAGUGGGCUCCUGAAGAACUUCUGUACAUAGUAACAACUAUACUGGUGAUAAUCAUAAUAUAUAUUAUGCGUCUUCAUAUUGAAAGGAUCAGAAUUUGACAUUUUAAAGAUCUUUCUCGUAUCCAACCAAGCUUCAAAUAGCUUCAGUUUAUUGAGAUUGUGUAAGAUAUAAGUGAGCCAAAAAUUAAUGAGAAUUUCCUCAAUAAAAUUUAUAGUGGAAUCAGAGUAGAUAUCAUGUCACAAAUAGCCAAUUAGGAAAAUGCACAAAAAUAGAAUAUUAAUUCGGUGGCUAGUGGAAAGUUCAAUUGAACAAGGCUGCCCCUAUGGUAGCAGCCUGCUGUGCACCAUCUCUAGCCAACAGUCAUAUCGGUGAACUGCAACCCAUGCUUAGUGCAUAUUAGGAUGUGUGGGUUCUGCACAACACAAAGGUAUUUCUGCCCCUCACUUAUCACGUCCCCAUUUACUCUGGUUUCUGCCCCAACACCUUGAUAUUUCCUGGAAUGUCAUCAUGCCACAAAGAGCUAAAGCCCUGGGUGAUAGGUGCUACACCAUGCUGCCACUUGGUCUGAGCAACCUUGGCUGCUAUUUAAAUAAUCACGAUAAAUGGUUAAGUGGGCUCCUGAAGACCUUCUGUACGUAAUAACAACUAUACUGGUGAUAAUCAUAAUCUAUAUUAUGCGUCUUCAUAUUGAAAGGAUCAGAAUUUGACAUUUUAAAGAUCUUUCUCAUAUCUGACCAAGCUUCGAAUAGCAUAGACAAUUGAUUUGAGAUUAUAUUCCAAACAAGUGCAACUUUGUUCAAAAAUUCCUUGGCAGAAGUGAUGUUUUAGUAAAGGCAUUUUGCUAAUCUUCAACAGCCCUUACUUUAAGAUGCAAUAAUCUGAGUUCUUCAGACAUUUGUCAUAGACUUUUUUUCUUUUCUCCAAUGUUGCUUAAUUAAAGUUCAGUUGGUUCUUAUAUUCUCUUAGGUAACUACUUUUUCCAAUUUUUUGUAUUGACCUAUUUUUGUAUUGUUAUUAUAAAGCUUUUCAAGGGCUUGGAAGCUUUUGAUCGCAAACCUCCGGAGAAGUCAAUAGUUCAAAGAGUCGCAGAUGCAUAUGAGAUGUUAGGCUUACUUGAAGAGAAAGAAAGGGUACUUGAAAAAUACAAAGAUAUUCCUACCAAGACAGAUAAAGUUCAUAAGAAAUCUAAGCAGGCUUCAUCAAAAAGAAAGAAGAAUUCUGGUUAGACUUACUCUCUCUUUCGCUUUCGAUAACCACUUCCAGAGUAGAAUUUUGUAUUUGUAAGGUCAGUCUUUUGUGCACCUGGAACUUGACCUCGGACAGUAUAGCAAAGAGUUUACUGCUGAAUAUGAGAAACUUUUAUUCUUUUAUUUCUCAAGUUCAAUAUUCUGCUGUCUGGAUUUGAUGGGAGACUCCUAUAUGUAUGCAUGGUACGAUAGUAAUGUGUUUUCUUUGACCCUGCUGGUUUUGGUGGUUUCCAGGGCG
This 1859-nucleotide long non-coding RNA is filed under the name Theobroma cacao (cacao). RNAcentral's name for it is "long non-coding RNA (TCAC_LNC000124)". Lineage: Eukaryota; Viridiplantae; Streptophyta; Magnoliopsida; Malvales; Malvaceae. The record is from RNAcentral.